GUCCCCGUAGCUCAGCUGGAUAGAGCGUCCGCCUCCUAAGCGGAAGGCCGGGGGUUCAAAUCCCCCCGGGGACGCCA
RNAcentral lists this transfer RNA (77 nucleotides) under Oscillospiraceae bacterium. RNAcentral describes it as "tRNA-Arg". It matches the Rfam family "tRNA". Rfam says of the family: Transfer RNA (tRNA) molecules are approximately 80 nucleotides in length. The record is from RNAcentral. Lineage: Bacteria; Bacillati; Bacillota; Clostridia; Eubacteriales; Oscillospiraceae.